This 249-nucleotide unclassified non-coding RNA is filed under the name Cronartium flaccidum. RNAcentral's name for it is "ITS2 region". The record is from RNAcentral. Lineage: Eukaryota; Fungi; Basidiomycota; Pucciniomycetes; Pucciniales; Coleosporiaceae.
AACCCUCUCAUUCCAAUUCUUAUAUAUUUUUUUUAUAUAAGGAUUUUUGUGUAAUGGAUGAUGAGUGUUGCUAUUAAUUAUAUAUAUAUAGCUCACUUUAAAUAUAUAAGUACUUUUAUUUGAAAAAUAAAUGGAGUAAUACUUGGUGUAAUAUUUAUAUUAUUCAUUGAGGAGUGUGUAGUUUUUUAAUUACUUACAGCCAUUUAUUUUUCAGAUAAAUAGCUUCUUAACCCCAAUUUCCAUUUUUUU